AGAGUUUGAUCAUGGCUCAGAACGAACGCUGGCGGCAGGCUUAACACAUGCAAGUCGAACGCCCCGCAAGGGGAGUGGCAGACGGGUGAGUAACGCGUGGGAACGUGCCCUUCGCUUCAGGAUAGCCUCGGGAAACUGGGAGUAAUACUGAAUACGCCGUAUUGGGAAAGAUUUAUCGGCGAAGGAUCGGCCCGCGUUAGAUUAGGUAGUUGGCGGUGUAAUGGACCACCAAGCCUACGAUCUAUAGCUGGUCUGAGAGGAUGAUCAGCCACACUGGGACUGAGACACGGCCCAGACUCCUACGGGAGGCAGCAGUGGGGAAUCUUGGACAAUGGGCGAAAGCCUGAUCCAGCCAUGCCGCGUGAGUGAAGAAGGCCUUAGGGUUGUAAAACUCUUUCGCCGGAGAAGAUAAUGACGGUAUCCGAGAAGAGCCCUGCCUCGCU
RNAcentral lists this ribosomal RNA (443 nucleotides) under uncultured Pelagibaca sp. RNAcentral describes it as "bacterial SSU rRNA". It matches the Rfam family "Bacterial small subunit ribosomal RNA", at positions 8 to 502 of the family's 1533-position model. The record is from RNAcentral. Lineage: Bacteria; Pseudomonadati; Pseudomonadota; Alphaproteobacteria; Rhodobacterales; Roseobacteraceae.